UUUUUUUUGUUUUUUUUUGUUUUUGUUUUUUGGCUAAGGAGCAAGAGACCAUGGUAGUAGAGUCUGAUGAUUGAAAGGAGGGCGUGCCUAGGAAUGAGAAUACCCCUCCCCCAGUGUUUAGAAUAUGGGGAGCUCCUCGGGAUUACGCCGCCUGCCGUCGUCCCCGUCCCCACCAAGGGCAUAGAAGGACUUGACAAAAAAAAAAAAAAAAAGACAUCCACACACCAGCAUUUCCUUGGCAGCAUCCUCUGCCAGAGUCCAUCUCCUUUCCACUUUCUUUCAGAGGUCAGCACUAGAGGGAGUGGAGAGGACCUAAGGACCUAAGGCAACAAAUAGCCCCGAGUUCUGGAUGCUCAGAUUUGAAUCCCUGCACAACCCCUCUUGAGCUGUAUGACAGCCGACAGCCCCACCCUGAGCUUUACCGUCUGUAAUUAGCUGGAUGAGAUAUGAACCAGACAAUGUGUACCCCGCAUAGCCUCUCUCCCCAUGUAGUACUACUGGUUAGACAUUAGUACAAGUAUGCCUUUUUUUUUUUUUGGUAAAGAUUAUUUCAAGGAUGACAAGAGGGUGCUGAAUGUGAGUUGAUACAGAGGAAGGGGGAUAUCUUUCAGCCUUUUGACUCCUAAUCUCUAUCAUCCAUGAAUGUGAAUGUGCCUUCUCCCAGUCCUGGGACCACUUGCCCCUAAGGCCACUCAUUCCAAACAACUAGCUAGACCAGAUUCCAAGGUGAUUCCGAUCACCUACCUGGUGGACUGUGGGGAUUUUCUCAUACCCCACAGAGGUCUUCCUUCCUUUUGAAUGAGAGAUUCUUCUACGUUGGAGGUGUAGAAGGUGAAAUACAAGGACGGAGAUGAGGUGGAGAUAGGUGCAAGGAAGGAGACAAAAAUAAAACUGCAGGAGUGAACAAGGACCUGGCUCUGUGCUGGGUGUUCACACCUGUGGUCUCCUUUAUAAGGACAUUGUACAUUUGGGUGUGAAUGAUGCCUGCCCACAUCUGUGCAUAGUUUCAUGUGUGCAUGCAGAGGUCAGAGGUCAACCUCUGGCGUACUUCCUCAGGAACCAUCUUAAUUUCCACACAAUCCAGUAUCACACAGUGAGCUGUAGGGCUCCCAGAUUAGGCUAGGCUGGCUGACCCUGACCUCUGUGGAGCCCCAAGGCUAUGUUCAUCCCCACCGCUGGGGUUCCAGGCAUUUAAGGCCACAUCUGCAUUGUUAGGUAGGUGCUGUGGAAUCACACUCAAAUCCUCAUGCUUGCAGAGCAAACCACCUUAGCUUCUCCCUUGCCUGGAACCACUGAUCCUCCUGCUCCUACCUCCCAAGUGCUGGGGCAUCUCACCUGGAGUUCGAGGGGACCUUUGGAAGGGGCUGCUUAUUGCCCAUGUUGCACAAGCAAGCACACUGAGGGUCAGGGUUGGGCCACACAGCUCAGUCAGUGGUAGGGAGCACAUGCCACAACCCUUGCAAUUCUGCCUGUUGUCAGCUCCAAAACCCUGGGGUUCGGAGGGCUGAAUACAUCUUAUUUAAAGGGGAGGAAGUUAUUCUAUGCAUAUGGUCUCUUGCAAGAAGAGACCUAGGAAAGAAGAGUGGAAGGAUGAAU
RNAcentral lists this long non-coding RNA (1596 nucleotides) under Mus musculus (house mouse). RNAcentral's name for it is "long non-coding RNA chr19:46046570-46048166". The record is from RNAcentral. Lineage: Eukaryota; Metazoa; Chordata; Mammalia; Rodentia; Muridae.